Molecule: ribosomal RNA, 517 nt
Filed under: uncultured Staphylococcus sp.
Lineage: Bacteria; Bacillati; Bacillota; Bacilli; Caryophanales; Staphylococcaceae
Description: bacterial SSU rRNA
Rfam family: Bacterial small subunit ribosomal RNA
Source: RNAcentral
AGAGUUUGAUCCUGGCUCAGGAUGAACGCUGGCGGCGUGCCUAAUACAUGCAAGUCGAGCGAACAGAUAAGGAGCUUGCUCCUUUGAAGUUAGCGGCGGACGGGUGAGUAACACGUGGGUAACCUACCUAUAAGACUGGGAUAACUUCGGGAAACCGGAGCUAAUACCGGAUAACAUUUAGAACCGCAUGGUUCUAAAGUGAAAGAUGGUUUUGCUAUCACUUAUAGAUGGACCCGCGCCGUAUUAGCUAGUUGGUAAGGUAACGGCUUACCAAGGCGACGAUACGUAGCCGACCUGAGAGGGUGAUCGGCCACACUGGAACUGAGACACGGUCCAGACUCCUACGGGAGGCAGCAGUAGGGAAUCUUCCGCAAUGGGCGAAAGCCUGACGGAGCAACGCCGCGUGAGUGAUGAAGGGUUUCGGCUCGUAAAACUCUGUUAUUAGGGAAGAACAAAUGUGUAAGUAACUGCGCACAUCUUGACGGUACCUAAUCAGAAAGCCACGGCUAACUACGUG